RNAcentral lists this long non-coding RNA (851 nucleotides) under Homo sapiens (human). RNAcentral describes it as "non-protein coding lnc-SLC31A1-1:1". The record is from RNAcentral. Lineage: Eukaryota; Metazoa; Chordata; Mammalia; Primates; Hominidae.
GGCGGGAGGGGGCGGGAAAUCCUCGGCCUCGGUGGCGGUGGUGGACACGUCGAGCCGGGUAGAAGUGGAGGGGCCGUUCGAAGAGUCGUGAGGGGGUGACGGGUUAAGAUUCGGAGAGAGAGGUGCUAGUGGCUGGACUUGACCUGGAAAGUGCUGGGAUUACAGGCAUGAGCCACCACACCUGUCCCUCUCCCCCUCGUAUUACUCAGACUUAAACUACCCCAAAAAGGCUAAAGUCCUGCUAAGAGUCUCCGUAGAACUGAUGAUUCAAGAGGCUCUUAUGAUCACAGCUGGUGAUUCCCUGUGUUGAAUUAGUGAAAACAGGCCAGGCACAGUAAUCCCAGCACUUUGAGAGGACUGCUUAAUGUCAGGAGCUCAAGCCCAGCUUGGGCAACACAGAUGCCUGUCUCUACAUAAAACAAUAAAAAUUUUUAAAAAAAAUUUUUUUUUAAUGCCCAGAACAAUAGGGCAUGAUUCAAAAUUAUCCUCCGAGCUGCCUCUCUGGUUCUUUCUGGGAAAAACACUUAGGCAAGUUGAGAAAGGAAGGAAAGUUGGAAUAAUGGCAAAACUGUUAGAAGCAUUCCUCUUUCCUCCAUUGCCUGUCCUCCCAACAUUAUACCCAAACUAGUUACAAAGCCAUUCUGUAAAGAGAUCGGGUACCUACAAUUUCUUCAGAUUUACACAAUAUCCACUAGAAUUUAAUUUCUACAAGGGCAGGGAUCUUUGUUGAGUGGCACAUGGUAGACACUCAAUAAAUACUUAUUGAAUAGAUGGGUUAAGUGAAAGUGGCAGGGAUCAACUAGAGUGUCCUGUGCUUAGGGUCUUUUAAUAAAGAUGGAAAGAAUGAUGUU